UGGGGAAUAUUGCACAAUGGAGGGAACUCUGAUGCAGCAACGCCGCGUGAAGGAAGAAGGGUUUCGGCUCGUAAACUUCUAUCAAUAGGGAAGAAAAAAAUGGCAGUACCUAAAUAAGAAGCCCCGGCUAACUACGUGCCAGCAGCCGCGGUAAUACGGGGGGUGCAAGCGUUGUCCGGAAUCAUUGGGCGUAAAGCGUUCGUAGGCGGUAUAUCAAGUCUGGUGUUAAAGCCCGGGGCUCAACUCCGGUUCGGCACUGGAUACUGGUAAACUAGAAUGCGGUAGAGGUAAGGGGAAUUCCUGGUGUAGCGGUGAAAUGCGUAGAUAUCAGGAGGAACAUCGGUGGCGAAAGCGCCUUACUGGGCCGUAAUUGACGCUGAGGAACGGAAGCCGGGGGAGCAAAUG
RNAcentral lists this ribosomal RNA (405 nucleotides) under uncultured bacterium. RNAcentral describes it as "bacterial SSU rRNA". It matches the Rfam family "Bacterial small subunit ribosomal RNA", at positions 355 to 774 of the family's 1533-position model. The record is from RNAcentral.